CAAGGUAUGUAUACGUUGUUUGAGUGCUCGGCUACGGUAAGCUCGGUGACAAGGCAUAAGUCGUAACAAGGCAUCGCUAGCGGAAGCUGGUGAUGGAUCAUCUCCUUU
RNAcentral lists this ribosomal RNA (108 nucleotides) under bacterium. RNAcentral describes it as "partial 16S ribosomal RNA". It matches the Rfam family "Bacterial small subunit ribosomal RNA", at positions 1428 to 1533 of the family's 1533-position model. The record is from RNAcentral.